CCUACGGGCGGCAGCAGUGGGGAAUAUUGCGCAAUGGGCGAAAGCCUGACGCAGCGACGCCGCGUGAGGGAUGAAGGUCUUCGGAUCGUAAACCUCUGUCAGCAGGGAAGAACGGUCACUGUGCUAAUCAGCAGGGAAUUGACGGUACCUGCAAAGGAAGCACCGGCUAACUCCGUGCCAGCAGCCUCGGUAAUACGGAGGGUGCGCGCGUUAAUCGGAAUUACUGGGCGUAAAGCGCUCGUAGGCGGUAUGUCAAGUCAAGGGUGAAAUCCCCGCGCUCAACGUGGGUACGGCCUUGGAAACUGGCAAACGUGAGUGUGUGAGAGGAUAGUGGAAUUCCAGGUGUAGGAGUGAAAUCCGUAGAUAUCUGGAGGAACAUCAGUGGCGAAGGCGACUAUCUGGCACAUAACUGACGCUGAGGAGCGAAAGCGUGGGUAGCAAACAGGAUUAGAUACCCCGGUAGUC
Molecule: ribosomal RNA, 465 nt
Filed under: uncultured bacterium
Lineage: Bacteria
Description: partial 16S ribosomal RNA
Rfam family: Bacterial small subunit ribosomal RNA
Source: RNAcentral